AUUGAACGCUGGCGGCAGGCCUAACACAUGCAAGUCGAACGGUAACAGAAAGCAGCUUGCUGCUUUGCUGACGAGUGGCGGACGGGUGAGUAAUGUCUGGGAAACUGCCUGAUGGAGGGGGAUAACUACUGGAAACGGUAGCUAAUACCGCAUAACGUCGCAAGACCAAAGAGGGGGACCUUCGGGCCUCUUGCCAUCGGAUGUGCCCAGAUGGGAUUAGCUAGUAGGUGGGGUAACGGCUCACCUAGGCGACGAUCCCUAUCUGGUCUGAGAGGAUGACCAGCCACACUGGAACUGAGACACGGUCCAGACUCCUACGGGAGGCAGCAGUGGGGAAUAUUGCACAAUGGGCGCAAGCCUGAUGCAGCCAUGCCGCGUGUAUGAAGAAGGCCUUCGGGUUGUAAAGUACUUUCAGCGGGGAGGAAGGGAGUAAAGUUAAUACCUUUGCUCAUUGACGUUACCCGCAGAAGAAGCACCGGCUAACUCCGUG
Molecule: ribosomal RNA, 490 nt
Filed under: uncultured bacterium
Lineage: Bacteria
Description: partial 16S ribosomal RNA
Rfam family: Bacterial small subunit ribosomal RNA
Source: RNAcentral